This 201-nucleotide ribosomal RNA is filed under the name uncultured microorganism. RNAcentral's name for it is "partial 16S ribosomal RNA". It matches the Rfam family "Bacterial small subunit ribosomal RNA", at positions 9 to 191 of the family's 1533-position model. The record is from RNAcentral.
GAGUUUGAUCGUGGCUCAGGAUGAACGCUGGCGGCGUGCUUAACACAUGCAAGUCGAACGAAGCACUUAAGAACGAAUCUUCGGAGGAAGUCUUAUUUGACUGAGUGGCGGACGGGUGAGUAACGCGUGGGUAACCUGCCUCACACAGGGGGAUAACAGUUGGAAACGACCGCUAAUACCGCAUAAGCCGGAAGGAUCGCA